This 600-nucleotide ribosomal RNA is filed under the name uncultured bacterium. RNAcentral describes it as "bacterial SSU rRNA". The stretch from base 1 to 520 matches the Rfam family "Bacterial small subunit ribosomal RNA", at positions 338 to 873 of the family's 1533-position model. The record is from RNAcentral.
CCUACGGGAGGCAGCAGUGGGGAAUAUUGGGCAAUGGAGGAAACUCUGACCCAGCGACGCCGCGUGCGGGAUGAAGGCCUUCGGGUUGUAAACCGCUUUCAGUAGGGAAGAAGCGAAAGUGACGGUACCUACAGAAGAAGCACCGGCUAACUAUGUGCCAGCAGCCGCGGUAAUACAUAGGGUGCAAGCGUUGUCCGGAAUUAUUGGGCGUAAAGAGCUCGUAGGUGGUUCGUCACGUCGGAUGUGAAAAUCUGGGGCUCAACCCCAGACCUGCAUUCGAUACGGGCGAUCUAGAGUGUGGUAGGGGAGACUGGAAUUCCUGGUGUAGCGGUGGAAUGCGCAGAUAUCAGGAGGAACACCAAUGGCGAAGGCAGGUCUCUGGGCCAUUACUGACACUGAGGAGCGAAAGCGUGGGGAGCGAACAGGAUUAGAUACCCUGGUAGUCCACGCCGUAAACGGUGGGCACUAGUUGUGGGAACCUUCCACGGUUUCUGCGACGCAGCUACGCAUAGUGCCCGCCGCGGGAGGUACGANCGCAGAUAAACUACAAGAAGUAGACGGCGUGAGACGUGCCGAACGGACGACGACGAGGGAGGUAGG